GGUAUAUACAAUUUUAUGUAUGAAGGAUAGGGUUUAGGCACAGCAAAUAAAUAUAUAAUAAAACAAACAAACAAACAAACAGGCAAAAGAAGAGCAAAGGUGUAUUUAUCAGUAUUUGGAUAAUGUCAUUAUAUUGCCGCACAAAAGUCACUUUUGGAGACUCUGAUCGAAAUGUUAAAUUAUUCAAAUUCACCUGUUUAUUUGCUUUUAUGCGACAAUUCUAAAUAAUUACAUUAGAUGUAUGUUUCAUUAUAAUGCGUUAUUCUGAUUGGCUAACUGCACAUCACGUGUUAUUCCUUAAGCAGUUGUAUCACACAAUAAAACACUAAAUGCUUCUUUUUGUAACUUCAUAGGGUUGUAAAAGAAUUGAAAGUGCGCACAUUUUAAGAAUGAAGCGCUUCGGCGCUUCAUACAAAAUGUACUUCGGUCAACGCUUUUACACCCCAAUAAAGUUACAAAAAGAAGCAUUCAAUUCUUAAAUGAAAUUUGUACAAACAGUGAUAUACAAAUCAAUGCAAGAAAGAGUU
This 527-nucleotide long non-coding RNA is filed under the name Mytilus galloprovincialis (Mediterranean mussel). The record is from RNAcentral. Lineage: Eukaryota; Metazoa; Mollusca; Bivalvia; Mytilida; Mytilidae.